Elaeis guineensis (African oil palm) is the source of this 4970-nucleotide non-coding RNA. NCBI's taxonomy places the organism in Eukaryota, Viridiplantae, Streptophyta, Magnoliopsida, Arecales, Arecaceae. The record is from RefSeq and is a predicted model, not a curated record.
AAUAAGCUCAGCCGCAUCGGCAUUCGUCAUGCUGAGCUCAUAGCUCGAGCGCUACUCGACCAUCCCAUGUUGUCAACCUCUCCUGUCUCCUCCCCUCAUUCUUCCCCGAUCUGGCCUUCCUCCUCCCUUUCUCUGUCUUUGGGGUGAAUCAAUCGUCAUAUUCCUUAGAGUAAGCGAUCUGAACUCCCUCUCUGAAUCAAAUCUCCUCUCUCUCGAUCUAUUGGUUUUUUCCUCAGUGAUUUCUGGACGCAGCGGUUUAUCGAUCUCUUCCUGGCCUUGUGUGUUUGGUGGUCUGGACUCUGGUGGGUGGGUUGUCACGUCAAGAAAGCAAGAAAAAGGAACGAGUCGAGGGCGCAAAGCGGGAAUCGGUCGAUAAACCUCUGCAUCCGGCUCUCACAUCCCCCGCACUGCCAACGCCCAAUCUCCCUUCUAUCCUUUCUUUUGUUAUUAGGGCUUCGUUUCUUGUGGCCUUCCUCUGGAAUCUAGUUUGGUGAUCUCGUCUUUCCUUGUCGAAAUAAAACAAGUUUGGGUUGGUCAAGCUAGAUCGAUCGGCUGAUUGAUUGAUUACCAUUCAGAUCAUCAAGUACAUAAACGAAAACUAUUCGGCUGACAUGAUUUGGGUACAGAUACAACUCCGAUAACAUUGGAUCUGACAUCUCGAGUGGUGAAAGGCUAUAAUUUAUAAGAAGAUGGAUGGUACGAAUGCUUAUUCGCAAGUUAAUGUUAUGGGUAAGAUGUUUGCGGUGUAUGAUUACAGAUUCAAAAGGGUCAAGAAUGCCAUGGUAAACUUCUGUCUAGUAUCAUGGUAUGUUGUCCUGUUUGGAAAUUCAUGUUCUCUUAAGUCCUUAUCGAGAAGAAAAAAAAAGAGAGAGAGAUUUUGAUUUUUUUUCCUUCUUAUUUUUCUUGUUACUUUUUGUUUUGUUUGUUUGUCUGUCAUCCAUGAUCGGCAAGAGUAAGGGAUCUCCUUGACAAAAUGAUUUUCUGUCAUGUUUUUUUUUUAUGGUGACAUAUCUACUGUGUCUGCUGGGUAUAGAUGCAAUGUACCUAAUCAAUUGGUGGUUCAGGUGAUUCAGAGAUGCGGCAUAUUUAUGACUGCUACUUACUGUCAUUGUUUCUUCCAAUGAAUUUAUUAUAAAAUGUGAGCUGAUUUGGACAGGUAUGACAAUUGUGGAUCAUUAUGUUCUCAAUCGAAACAUCUUUUGCAAUUUGGGAAUUGAAGAACUCAACCACAUUAUUUCCUAGAGUUCCUUCAUACCAUUAGACUGCUAGCCAGAUCUCAUAUUUAUAGAUUUAUACUACUUGGUACAUAAGCAUAUUUAGUUAGUCUUACGCUUUGUAUUUGGGUUCACCUUAUUAUUAUCUUAUUAGCUCAACAUGAUUGACAUAGGUAUAAUCAUCACCGGACUAUAUUGGAUAAGUGCUAGAGAUGAAGCCCCUAAAACCAUACAUAACAACAUUCAGGGAUGCAGAGUAGCAGGGAUCUGUUGCUUCACACAUCUGCUUCAAAAUCUCCCUGGAAACUCAUCCCUGCACCUGCAGCCUCUUCUGGUAACUACAGCCUAUUCAUCAUGUUAUAUUAGUGGAUAAUAGGGAUAGGAAACAAGUUCUCCUAGCAUUUAUAAAUUAAAAAACCCAAUGUUUUGGGUACUGAAACAUACAGGGUGGUAUGGGACAUACCACAUUGACCUGGUAUGUUACCAAUAUCAGUACGGAUUUGGGGUUAUACCCCAUUACACACACAUGCUACAAGUGCUUUGCUGACUUCAACAUUGUACAAUUUGUCAGUAUUGGGGAUGUACUGUAUCAUAUUGGACUACACCUGUAACGUACGGUUACUCAACCUAGUGCUAAAACUUAAGUUGUUGAAAGAAGCUAUAUACAAAUGAAGAAGGAUAAGCCAGUUCCAUUGUGUUAUAAGCCAUCCUUUUCUUCUGUAGUAUAUCUUAUGUUUUGACACAAUGACAUGGCAUUUGUUGUUUUGGGUUAGCCACCUAAGAGCUAACAUCUCUACCAGGCUUGAGCAUGCAGUAUUUGUAUUUUCCUUGGAUGCCUUCAUUUGCCAUCAAUUCAUCUCAUCCUAGAAAUUGGUUCAUAUUGGUAUUGGAAACUUGCCAGCCCUUGCUAUCUCAGGUGAAGUAAAGCAGCAUGUCCUCAGACAUCAACUGAUGCUCAACAUAUUGGACUUGAUUUUUUUUUCUUAUUUUUCAGUAAACAAUCUUAAUGGGUAUUUAAAUAUUGAAUGUCAAAGCUGAUGUCUUAAAGUAGUAGUUAAUCCCAGUUUCUAUAUAUCAGCCAAGAACUAGGACUCUCUUGCUGCUUACCAAAUUGUCCCAGUUUUCCAUCUUGACUGAGAUAAACUGAGAUCUUGGUACAUCUUGGUUCCAGCCACCCAGUGAGAUGAACGAAAUGCAUUUUAGAAACCUUGUCAAUUAACUCUUCAUUUUAUAAAUGUUGUUGUCUUAUUCAGAUGCUUUACCUAAGAGAUUGCUGUAUGCUUCCCUGUUUACAUGCAUUAAUUUUCUUACUUGACCAGCAGUUUAAUGUGUUGUAGCUUUUUCAUUUUGUCCUUUGCAAACUAAGCAUUUACGCUUAUUUCUAAGAUGACAAUCUAGUAUAUGGCAUUGGUGAAGAAAUCCAUACUCAGAAUAUUUUCUCUGAUCUUUACAUUAACUGGGUGUGGCUAAUAGUUUAAAUGUCUAAUUUUUGUGGCUUGGUUGUCUAUCUACCACCUUUCAUGUUUGUCACUUUUAGUUGAAAUUCAAUGCCAAGAUUUGAUUUGUUUAUCUCCAUAAUAGAAAAUAUUUCAGGUUUGCUUUGAGGAAGGCUGUAUAUCUUGUUCAAAGUGAUGUAUUUGAAGGUCGGUUUCUUGAAACAACCAGAUUUGUGAUCUAAAACCUUUUAGUUUGCAGGUUGAGAGCUUUCUGAAUCUUCUAUGCUUGCCUGGCUCUAAGAGAAUCUCUUAUCUGUCUCUAAGGGAACCUCUUAUCUGUCAUGAUUCUAACAAAACAUUUGGCUCCCAUGAGCUUGAUGUAUAUCUUAUGUUAUACAUCAACAUAUGCUCUUAAAUUGGUUUGAAUCAUCAGGUAAAUCAUUCCUUAUUUGCUUUUACUCAGGUUUUAUCAUGCAUAUUUACAUACAAUGCUAAGAAACUCAUAUAAAUGGGCAAAUGGAGUUUUAGAAUGUCUGUAUUGUAUAAUGAGAAUAAUUUAGUCGGUGUUAUUAAUCAUUUGAUUGAUUGUCAACUGAUUCAAAUUCUAAGUAGUAAGAAAGAGAAAAUUUAUAAAGAACCAUGAAAAAUAGAUCUUUUCAUGUGGAAAGAGUUUUAAUCAGAUGGAGGUUUUUGUCUAAAUGAUGUAGUCAAAAUCUUGUAUAUAUCAUUUCCAAACCCUGUGAAGGGAACAUGUGCAAAUGGAUUUUUUAAUUGACUUUUGCAAGGAUUAGAGAUUAGAGUAGUAGUAUUUUAACUUUUCUAUGUUAAAUGGGCAUGUAGUUCUCAACUUCUUCUUUCAAUGCUUUCCUUUGCCAUUCCUGCUUUGUUUUUGCUUCUGUGCUGAAAGUUUCACUUGUACUUUUAAGUUAAAUGCAUGCAAAUCAUUUUACUUUUUGCACGGGACAUUCCUUGCUCACACGAAUAAAUGUUUGCAAGUUCUUUGUUCUUAUACUUAUUGCUUGAAUCUCUUAAAAAAUUGUUAGCUUGUAAUUUCCAGACAUAGGUCAUAUCUCAUUGAUUUGUGCAUAAGCCUGGUUGCAAAGAAGCUGGAAAUGAUAUUUAAUUAUCUCGCAUAUAAUUGAUUUCAUCAUGAAAAAGUAGCUCCAGUCAUUUUGAUGAUCCAUCUUUUGAUAUUGUAUUGCCCAUCAUCAUAAUUAUACUUUUCUUUUUAAAGUUUUAUUAUCAUAAUGCUAUGAUAUACCCUUAUCUCAGCUGUGACUAUCUUAUACACAUAUAGAAUGUACUUUUCUUUUGGAGACAAAAACAUAGUGUUUAAUCUAUAUAUAAACAUUUGCAGCAUGUGAUGUACAUUGGUGGACUCUUAUGCAACGUCUCGGGGGAGACUGUCAGAUAUAUAAACUUUCCUUUAACUUGUUUGGAAUCUUUAUAGCUCAAGUUUGCGCCUGCCUUGUAGCACUAUGUAAAACACCUGUGGUCAAUGCUGUCUGCCUGUUUCUUACCACUGAUCUGGAGAGUUUAUGCCGCUAAUUUCUUCCAUGGAUAUGUAAACCAGGCCGCAUACAUAAUCCUCCGAUAUUAUGUGUAGUGGGAGAUAAGUAUCUCUUGUUUUCCUACUUUUGACUGAUUUGGAAUAUCGGUUUUAACGUCUGCUUGUUGGUUUUGAAGUUCAUUUUCUGGGUACAUGUGCAAAUUUUUGAUUGUGAUAACAGAAAUUGUUUGCUAUCGGUUGCAUUCUAGAGUGUUAAAUUAUAGCCUAUAAUAAUAUGGAUAGUGAAAUUAUGUUUCCAACGGAUCAAUUGUCAGCUUUUAUGUCAAUUUGCUCAUUAGUAUAGGCACGGCAUAUUCAUUUCUUGGAUGCAAAAAUUUUAGUGAUGACACGAUAUUUUUCACAUGUAACCAUGAAUCUUGAUUUUGGUGGAGCAAUUCCAAUUCAUUGCGAUGCAACUUUUUGCCCACUCUUACCCAUUUGCCUUCUGUACUUUCAUCGGUGCCUUGCGGAAUCAUGCUAUACUAAUACAAGGCUACGACAUUGUUGGUCCCGUGAUGCAAAUGAAAAGAAGGAAACCAUGUUUACCGGAAGACAAACGGUGCUGCAAAAUGGAUUGCGGCCUUCGUUGUUAGGCACUCAAAGAUGGUGGUCUUGAUUGAGCUGGAGUCUACUUCGACAGGCUUUUGGGAUGUUGUACUCUUUGAUUUUUUUUGUUGUAUUCAUGCUCGUGUAGUGUCUACGGGGAACCAAAGGGUUGAGAAAUGAAAGAAAAAGGUCAGGUUAAGAAAAGAACCUGGAAUAUCCAUCGGA